This 253-nucleotide ribosomal RNA is filed under the name uncultured bacterium. Its description in RNAcentral is "partial 16S ribosomal RNA". It matches the Rfam family "Bacterial small subunit ribosomal RNA", at positions 524 to 776 of the family's 1533-position model. The record is from RNAcentral.
UACGAAGGGGGCUAGCGUUGUUCGGAAUUACUGGGCGUAAAGCGUGCGCAGGCGGCUUCUCAAGUCAGGGGUGAAAGCCCAGAGCUCAACUCUGGAAUUGCCUUUGAGACUGAGUGGCUUGAGUACGAGAGAGGUGAGUGGAAUUCCCAGUGUAGAGGCGAAAUUCGUAGAUAUUGGGAAGAACACCGGUGGCGAAGGCGGCUCACUGGCUCGUAACUGACGCUCAUGCACGACAGCGUGGGGAUCAAACAGG